UACGGAGGGUGCAAGCGUUGUCCGGAUUUAUUGGGUUUAAAGGGUGCGUAGGUGGCUGUUUAAGUCAGUGGUGAAAGUCUGCAGCUCAACUGUAGAAUUGCCAUUGAUACUGAAUAGCUUGAGUAUUGAUGAGGUAGGCGGAAUUGAUAGUGUAGCGGUGAAAUGCAUAGAUAUUAUCAAGAACACCGAUUGCGAAGGCAGCUUACUAAGGAAUAACUGACACUGAGGCACGAAAGCGUGGGGAUCAAACAGG
RNAcentral lists this ribosomal RNA (253 nucleotides) under uncultured bacterium. RNAcentral describes it as "partial 16S ribosomal RNA". It matches the Rfam family "Bacterial small subunit ribosomal RNA", at positions 524 to 776 of the family's 1533-position model. The record is from RNAcentral.